This is an RNA transcript of Chelonia mydas (Green sea turtle), 1922 nucleotides long. It is a transcript of the gene named peptidyl-tRNA hydrolase 2, with no coding region annotated. The transcript is spliced from 3 exons. The record is from RefSeq and is a predicted model, not a curated record. Lineage: Eukaryota; Metazoa; Chordata; Testudines; Cheloniidae.
GCGUGGUGGGUAGGUAGCAGCGGCCUCGUUGGUACGAACGGGAGGCGAGUCUCAGGUGAGGUGACUCGGCUUCCUGUUCCCUCGCCCCGGGGCGCUGGGCCUGGGCGGGAAGUGGAGCAGAGCCGCCUCCCCUCCAGGUACUGACCACCCCAGCUCACAUUUGCCACGGAGCUGGUGCUCGGGCAGUGCGUGGACCCCUGUGGCCUCCUGCCUUGGAGCCGGACCUGCUGGCCGCUUCUGGGGUGCAGUGCGGUGCCCCAGGACAGCAGGUAUCACUUAAAAGCGAAGCCUUUCUCCUCCGAUGAACUGAAAAUAAGAGAACAUAAGUCAAGGCAGACAUUUGACAAAGCCAAUAUCAAGAUUAGUGGCAGGUGAAAGUCUCAACCAACAGAAAUAGCUUUUACCUUGGUCAAGUACUCCUUCAUGACCUGAAUAAAAUAGGGCAUGGCAAAGUCCAUGAUGUUGUGCCUCCAUGCAGUUUCCAAGACAACAUCUGGCCUUAGAAGGUCAUAACAGGUGAAGAGACAAGCUCCAAAACAUUCUCUCUUUUCUUCCUGCAAGAACCACUGCAGCAAUUCUUCUGCUAACUCUGUAUCUUUGGAUUCUGAAGCAUAUUGCAUUGCAUCCUACAAAAAAGAACAAGAAGAACAAAACCUCUCAUUAAAAGAGCCACAUCUAAUAUGCUGGAGCAGGAACUGGUCAAAGCAGUAAUGAGCCAUUCCAAAAAAGCUAUCUUGGGGAUUUAGGCUUCCAAGAUGCACAAAAACAGCUUUUCAAGUACAUUAUAGCAAUAUUAUCAAAGGGGGUAGGAUCACUGAUACUAGUAUUAAAGCCAUGUGAACAUAGGUCUGCAUAGCUUUAAUGUUCUAUAUUCCAGUCUGUUACCUUGUAUAGUCUGUCUUUCUUGCAAAGUUCUACACUCUGUUUCCAGCGAUUGUUGCCUUUAAAGAGAUAUGCAGCAAUUCUUCUGAACUCAAUCAGCUCGUGCUUCUCCAAACGCUGAGCAAGGGAGAUGUUGUCAAAGUUGUCAUAGGCAUCUAUAGAUGUCCUAAGAGCCUGAAUUGGAAUAGAAUGGAGUCAUUCAAACCUCAGUGCUCGUGUUCCAGAAAGGGUCAACCAAUUUACGUUUUAGAUACCACUUGAGCUGUUUGCAGAGUUCCUUUGCUCAAACUUUUGAGUCUAUUUUCAGAUCUUAAGUAAUCCUGCAGUUUGUUACUGCAGUUAAUGGAUGCACAUUUAUACCAAUUAGCUAUCUCUACCAAUUAGCAUGCACAAAAGAAAGGUGUUUUAAACAAGGGCAAUUUUUUUUUUUUUUUUAAAGCCUACCUGAUAGUCUUCUUCUAUAAUGAAGAGAUUAUUCAGAGACUCAUUCACGGAUUUGUUGUUGUGGUUUUGAACUGAGCGCAAGUAGGGUUUAACAAGUGGAAGCUGUUUAGCCUUUAAGAGAAGAAGUUUUGACAUGAGAAUCCUGAAUAUAACAAUAUAGCACACCAUAAGCUUAUAGAUGUCCAUCGCAGAUACAUUCACUGUCAUUUACUCAACUGGAGUUGUAAACCUUUAGAUGUAGCCAAAUGCUUCAUCUCCACUUGUAAAGUCUUUCAUAAUUAUAGGAAAAUAAAAACCAGUUACCUUACUGAAGAAGUUUACAGCACGAGUAUGAUCCAGCCGGGGAGACAGCACCAUCAACAGAUCAUUGAGCAACAGGGGUUUAAAUUCCAAAUAAAACUGGAUUGCUUUAUAAUACAGCUCCACAUUGGCCACCUAGAGACAGCACAGAGGAUCAUUUAAUAGAUCUUUACAUACUUGUUUCAUGGUGUUUAUGUAUUUCUGCAUGGAUUUUUCUGGUUCAUUACCUCUAAUGAAAAUAAGACCCUUAAGUUACCUGAAGCAUGUCUGCCAGCAUAAAGAAAUUUUGCUUUAAA